GAUGAACGCUGGCGGCGUGCUUAACACAUGCAAGUCGAGCGAGUGAGUUCUUCGGAACGAUCUAGCGGCGGACGGGUGAGUAACACGUGGGCAACCUGCCUCAUAGGGGGGAAUAGCCUCCCGAAAGGGAGAUUAAUACCGCAUAAACUUAUCGAGUGGCAUCACACGGUAAUCAAAGGAGUAAUCCGCCAUGAGAUGGGCCCGCGGCGCAUUAGCUAGUUGGUGAGGUACCGGCUCACCAAGGCGACGAUGCGUAGCCGACCUGAGAGGGUGUUCGGCCACAUUGGGACUGAGACACGGCCCAGACUCCUACGGGAGGCAGCAGUGGGGAAUAUUGCACAAUGGGGGAAACCCUGAUGCAGCAACGCCGCGUGAGUGAUGAAGGUCUUCGGAUUGUAAAGCUCUGUCUUUGGGGACGAUAAUGACGGUACCCAAGGAGGAAGCCACGGCUAACUACGUGCCAGCAGCCGCCGUAA
RNAcentral lists this ribosomal RNA (476 nucleotides) under uncultured bacterium. RNAcentral describes it as "partial 16S ribosomal RNA". It matches the Rfam family "Bacterial small subunit ribosomal RNA", at positions 28 to 523 of the family's 1533-position model. The record is from RNAcentral.